This is a long non-coding RNA of Carcharodon carcharias (great white shark), 156 nucleotides long. RefSeq lists it as uncharacterized. The transcript has 4 exons. The record is from RefSeq and is a predicted model, not a curated record. Lineage: Eukaryota; Metazoa; Chordata; Chondrichthyes; Lamniformes; Lamnidae.
UUGCUGUGGGUGUGAUUCUCCUCCUUGCUCUGUUGGGUCUCUGCCUCUGGAAAAAAGGAAAGAUGAAAGACAAUAGGGAAACCAGAAAGGUGGUGCCCUCUGGAGAGCAAAACAGCGAAGAUAUUACAUACGCUGAUCUUAUCCUAAAGAAAAGGC